RNAcentral lists this long non-coding RNA (777 nucleotides) under Piliocolobus tephrosceles (Ugandan red Colobus). RNAcentral describes it as "lncRNA (ENSPTEG00000008168.1)". The record is from RNAcentral. Lineage: Eukaryota; Metazoa; Chordata; Mammalia; Primates; Cercopithecidae.
UAUGUACAAAUAAAUUAAUAUAAAAGAACGUUGAUAAGUUCAUGAUAAAAAAUAAUAAAAUAAAUAAAUAAAUAAGUAAAAUAAAAAUUUAUUUUUUUAUUUUUCAUUUACAAUGAAAUAAAAAAAAAAAAAAAAAAAUUAACAUAGUAUAACACAUGAAUAUAUAUAUAUAUAUAUAUAUAUAUAUACCACUUGUAAGUUCACAUAUAUAUAUUUAUAUAUUAUGUUUAGUUAAUAUACUGAUAUAUUCGUACACACUUUUGCAUAUAUAAAUACCACUUAAUAGUUAUAAACGAUUUAUAUUUAUAAUAAAUUGUAUUUUUUUUUUUUUUUUACUUUUUAGGUUUUACUUUUUGUUUAUUUUGAGCUGGUUUGUUUGGUGUUUUAUUAUUUUUUUGCUUUGUCAGUUUUUGGCUUGUCAGUUUUUGGCUUGUCAGUUUUUGCUUUGUCAUUUUUUUGGCUUGUCAGUUUUUGCUUUGUCAGAUUUUGGCUUGUCAGUUUUUUCCUUAUUUAUUUUUUUUUUAGCAAUUUUAUUUUUUUUAUCUUUUUUGGUUUUGAGUUUUGAAAUAGUUUUAAUAGUUUUUUUUUUUUUUUUUUUUUUUUUUUUUUUUUUAUUUUACAGCACAUAGCCCUCGAAUGUAGCAAUAAUUUUACAUCCUUGUUAAUAACUGAUUUGCUAAAACAAGUACAAAAUUGUUAUAUUUGUAAAAUUACCUUUAUAAAUAGUUACGACCAAAAAGUAAUAAAUUAUUUGUUUUCCUUAAAAAAAAAAAUGCA